UGAGAACGGACUCCCACUGGCAAAUAUACCCCGGCCCUCAGUGAGGCGAUAGCACUGCUCUGCUGUGCACUCUGCUUUACUCGUGGGGUUGCUCAGGGCAAACACGAUGGGCCUCUCGUUGAAAGCUGCCAUGUCCUUCAAAAUCUUCUCAGUGAAAGCUCCUGCAAUGGCUGCGACGCCUAUAAUUGCUGUCGGCUUCACUUUCUGCACAACCUCUUCUAGUGUGUUCACACUGGGAUGGUCCUGGGCAAACAUUUCUUUCUCAUGGUUUAGGUGGCUCCUGCCCUUGACUAUCAGUCCCUUGGAGUCCACCAUCCAUAUUUUUUUGAUAGCAUCUUCUCG
RNAcentral lists this long non-coding RNA (342 nucleotides) under Gallus gallus (chicken). The record is from RNAcentral. Lineage: Eukaryota; Metazoa; Chordata; Aves; Galliformes; Phasianidae.